CUCAAGAGAAGCCUUUCAUUCUAGACAUAGUAGUUAUUUUCUAAAUCAUCUUUAAACUUAUUUGCUGGAAUAUUGUGGGGGUAAAGUGCAAACUUCCCCUUCACCAUCUGAAGGUUUGCUAAAAAUCAACAGGCAGAAGGCGAAUUAACAGGAGAAAUGGCAUGCCAAUUUGUUUGAUCACAGUUUUACAUGAAGAAUGAAGACCCAAAGACACAUGAGAAAUUGUCCAUUUUUAUGCAACACCAGACCAGGCGAUGCUCUAAGACAGGUACAACAAAGUAUGGACAUGCGUGUAGAAAUACGAGUCAACUAAAGGGUGUGAUCUACUGCUAAUAGGCUGAGUGGGGACACCCAGACUCUUCCUGGCCCCUGUGAGCAGCUUCCUUUCCUUCUGGUGUGGGGCAGGAACUUCUCUGGAAUGGGGAUCUUCUGACCCACAGUCAAACAAGGAAUUGGACAGAAGUCACAUCAGGGAGACCAGAGACUAGAGUAUUGCAUCAUAGAGGAAAGACACUGAUGACAAGACCUCAGGGGAGCAGUGGAACUGGAGGCCUGGGAGCUUGGGACGUGUUCUCCGGGUGAAGUUGGCUGGCCAGCUGAUGACCUACACCAGUGCCAUUCACUCCUCAUGUGUCCCCCGGGAAUUCAUAGUGUGUGUCAUCAGGUAAAAGCAACACUACUUUCAGAUGUUUUCUGAUCUCUUUGAGAUCUGGACAACACUACUGUGUACAUAUGGCCAGCAACAAAUUACACUCAAUGAAUAUUUUAGAGAGCAGCAAAGUAAUCAAUUAAAAGAAUCUCAUAUGAAUGGGAUCGUCCAGCGUGUACCUUUCUCUGUGCAUCAAUACAGCAGGAGUUGGCUCCUCUCCCUGAGUGCACGUCAGUUUCACUUCUGCUGUUGCACCUGUCAAUUGUUC
RNAcentral lists this long non-coding RNA (917 nucleotides) under Homo sapiens (human). Its description in RNAcentral is "non-protein coding lnc-ZFP42-2:12". Lineage: Eukaryota; Metazoa; Chordata; Mammalia; Primates; Hominidae. The record is from RNAcentral.